Molecule: long non-coding RNA, 4237 nt
Organism: Brassica rapa (field mustard)
Lineage: Eukaryota; Viridiplantae; Streptophyta; Magnoliopsida; Brassicales; Brassicaceae
Source: RefSeq, a predicted model, not a curated record
UAAUGUUACAUUUAUAUGUAUUUAUGUAUAAAAUGGUCUUUAUAAUUUGGGAUUUUAUAAAAAAAAAGGUUUAAAGUUAAUUUGGUUAAUUUUUAUUUUCUGUAACAAAAGUUAAUUAAAUUAAUAAUUUUCUUUUCUAAAUGAGUUGUAUCAGUUAAAUUAUCUUUUUAAGUUAAAUGCUCAAACCCCAAUUAAUAAUAUUUAUUUUGCUGCUAACAAAAUGAGAUUAAAUAGGGAUAACAUAUAAUAUAUAAGGAAGACCAAAAAAAAAAAGGAAAGGUCCAAACAAUAUUUAUAAGUAGAUUUAUCAAGACUGCUUUCCUUUUAAUAAAAUAGAUUCUUAAAUAUUAUUUUUGAUCUACUAUUCAAAGAUUUCUAUAUUGGGGUUGGACUAUCAAAAAUUGAAUUUCCUUCCCAAUUGUAAAUACAGAGUUUAUCAAAUGUUUGAGCGUGUUACAAAAAGACUGUCUUGUACAUAUGCUGAGAAUGCAUUUGCAUAUUGCUCGUCUAUUUUUUUUGUCUUGUACAAAUCCAUUGUAAAACAUGUUAACUAGGAACCUAAUAUACGUGCAUUUUGUUAUGUAAGGGCCCAUUUGUUUUUGAAGGUCUUCCAAAACAUCGAGCUUGUUUUGAGUCUAAGAAUAGAACCAAUUUAUACCGAAAAUAUGAAUAUUUAAGACUAUGAUUUUGUGUGCUGUAUUUUUUAAAAAACAUUUUAUGAUUUAAUUGAAAUAAUUUUCUGUUUGCAAUGUUUAUUAUUUUUAUAAAAUUUCCAAAUAAUAUAAAAUUUUAAAUGUCAAAUUUAGAUUUUAAAAUGUUAAAUUUUAAUUAUUACUAGUUUAUUUUGGUUAUUUUACAAAAUUUUAAAUAAAUAUGAUAGAUUUGGCUAAUUUUGAAUACUUUGUAUCUUUUUCCAGUUUCAAAUAUUUGAACCCGAACCAGAUCUAAUAUGGACACAAAAGUUACAUGUAUUUUAUAUGUAUUUUAAUUCUAGAUUCGAACCGAUUUAGAUCUGAAAGAAACUGAUUCGAAUCUGAAUUGAAAAUUAUCAAAUACCUAGCUAGAUUCAAAUGACUAGAAUUUGGAGAAUUCAAAUUCGACCCGAAAAUGAAAAUGUCCAGACCUAGAAACAAUGUUUGUUAUGGGAUCGUAUACUGUAUAGAAAAUUGUCAUUGCAGAAUUGAGUCAUUUGACCGUAAAACAUUUGUAGUGAUCGUAUAUAGAGUAUGUUAUAGAUAGUCAAAAUAAAUUAUUGGUCAUUACUUUUAUACGAUAUGAUCAAGUAAUAAAUUAAUUACUGCUUGCUUGUUUUAGGAACGGAGAAACCGUGCACAAUUUUGUAACUUCUCUUUAACCGUGCACAAUUUAUUUAAUACUGCAGUACAAUUUUGGAUUAAGGCAUCUCUGAUCUCAUUAUAUAUUUUAUUCAAAAAAAGUGAAAAUAAAAUAACGUACAAAAAAUAAAAACAUUACUGUAUAUUCAUUUUUCAUUCUAUUUUAGAGUAGAAUAUGAAGUGAGGUUAGAACACUUAUACCGUAAAAACUCUUUUAAUUAAUAAUAUUGGAACCAUGAUAUUUAUUAAUUUAUAGAAUUAUUAAUUUAUAAAAAGUUUACUUUCUGGAUUUUUAUUUUAAAAUAUAUUUUUAUAAAAUAAACAUAAUAAUUUAUUUUAUUGUAUAUUGACCAAUUAAAUAUGGUUUGGAUAUAAUUUUACUAUAACAUAAACAAAAUAUAUUAAACUGUUAAAAAAUAUAGAGAUAAUUAUAUUGUAAAAUAAAGCAAAUAAUACAAUUGUUUAUUUUUACUUAAAUAAAAUUUAUAUAUAUAGAAAAAAUAUUAAUUUUUAUUUCAAUUGGACUAUAUAUUUACAUAAGACUUUUAAAUUAUUAUUAUUUUAUUCUUUUAUCAAUUUGUGUUAUAUUUUGAACCAGCCCAACUCACGACAUGAAAAAUUUAUUAAUUUAUAGUGUUUAUUAAUCUAUAGAAUAUUAUUUUAUAGAGUUUCUAUUGUAUAACUCUUUAAGCAUGAACAAUUUAUCCAGACCGAAAAUCCAAAACUCAGACCGAUUCAAAAAUACCUAAUUCGAAACUGAACCAAAAAUCUGCAAGUGUCUAAUUAAGUCCAAAAUUUAUCUACCCAAAAGAGCUGGAACAUGAAAAGAACCAACCCAAAUAUACUCUGGUCCGAAAAAAACUGAUUCAAAUAGAUUCGUUUUGAUAAAAACCAAUUUUUACCCGACCAAAGAACAUGAAUAUCCAAGAAUAGGACUCCAUGUGCUAUAUUUUAUAAAUUUUAGUUUUUGAUUUAGUUGAAAUAUCUUUUUGUUAGCAAUCUUCAUUAUUAUUUAUUAAAAUUUCAAGUAAUAAAAAAAUUUAAAUGCCAAAUUUAUAGUUUAAUAAUGUUUAAUUGUAAUUAUUAAUAUUUUUGCAAUAUUUGAGAUAAAUAUGAUGGAUUUUGACUAACUUUUAAUCGAAUUAGGUACUUCUGCUCUUUUUGGAUCCUAGAUAUCUGAAUCCGAUUUGGAGUCGCUAUAGACCCAAAAAUUACAAAUAUUUUACAAGUAUUUAAUUAUAUAUUAUAAUUAACAUUAACUCGAGAAGAAAUAAUCCAAACCUAAAUCGAAAAUUUCUAAGUAUUUUGUUGGAUCCAAAUGUAUAAAACCUGAAGAACCUGAGUUUUAAAAAACUGAUCAGAAGAUCUGAACGCCUAUGAAUCUUUAUCAAUAAACCAAAAAAGGAUGGAGCACGAAAAAAAUGAAUAGUUCCUUUUUUUAAAAGGAUAAUUGUUAUGCAGUUGGGUAUACGAAUACAAAGCCUACAAACAGUAGCUAUCCAAAUAAUUCAUAGGCCGCAUGUAAAAUAAGACUAAUUCUAACUGACAAAUAAAAUAAACUUAUCUUUUUUUUUGCCAACAAAAAUAUAUUUUCCAAUAUCACUUGUAUAGGUUUUGACCGUAAAUCACAACUAGCGAUAUAAUAUAAGUGACAAAUAAAUUUACUCUGAUUUCAGCUAUUUUAUCCCCAAUCAGGUGGAACACUUUUUACGCACUCUAUUUACUAUUCAAGAGAGAUCAGAGACAGUGUCGCUGUUCCUCCUAGCUUAGGGCAUCUCCAAUGUAACUCUAUUUUUUUCUCUAUAUUUACACAAAAAUAGAGUAAUUCUAUUAUAGUGUAACUUUUGCUCCAAUAGUGUUACUCUAUAAUAGAGUAAAAAAUAAAGUCCCCUUGAAAAUGGCCUUAGGAAGAAGAAAAUAUUCUCGCUGGAUUUCACCUUCUUUUUUUAUUAUUUAUUCUAUCAAUUUCUUCUUCUUCUUUUUUUUUUUGACAACUUCUAUCAAUUUCUUCUUAUUUUUUUUUUUUACCAUCUUAAUAUUAUAUUAAACCAACAAGAGACACAAGUACUUAUACAAACAAAGCAAUAACAAAGGCCCAAAAAACAGCCAACGGCCCACAAACAACAACUUUGACUAAACAAGUACGAGGCCCAACAUAAGCCCACAAGCACCACCCCAUCGGAAAGACACGUUAUCACACGUGUUUCGACAAAUGAUGAAGCUACGAAACACGCGUCGAGAACCACCUGCAUGCCUCCACCUGUCAGAACUUUACACCGGAGACCAAUCUCAUCGGCGCCACCGGAAAAGGCCGGGAACCAUGAAUACAACGACUACCCCACCAACAAAGCUUGCGUCUUCAUCUCUUUAAUUCCAAAUAUCGGAGAGCAUCAAUCGAGAAAUCGAGAUCUCAUCCUACUUCCAUUGCAUAAACACCGAGAGAAGAAGCUUUCAACAAAUCGGAACCACCAGACACCGAAGAGCUUCAAAACGAACGAAGCUUCCAACUUUUUUCUUCACCGCCUUCGCUUCAUCAAUAUCAGAGAGAUUAAUCGAUCUAUUCGAAAAUCUCAUCCGAAGAAGCCAAAAAACCGACAACACAGGACAAGGGUCGACAGACGAGAAGCCGACAAAUCAUCACCUAAUGGAAAGAUGUGGUCUCCGGAGUCAAAACUGGACGCCCAUCAAAAGGAAGAUGCGACACCGAGACAGAGCCGGACAUGCAACACCGCGGAGCCGUUCAUGCCGGAGAGAGAUCACGAGAAAAACAUGCAACCCGUAAAAAGAAAAAAAAACCAAAAUCCGGACCGACGGUGGCUGUGGAAGCCCAUCCCGCCGGCCAGAAGCACUUUCACGGUGGUUAGGUCUAGAGAGAAGGCAGAGAUUUUUAAUAGAGAGAGAGA